UAUAAGUUUUUAUAGCUUUAUUUUAUUAUUUAAUUAUAUUUUAUAUGUAAAUUUUUGUGUAAAGAAAGAUAGAUUUUAAAUAAAUUUAGUAAAAAUUAGAUUGCAGUAGAUGUAUUUAUUAAUUUAAGAAAUUAAGAAUUAGUAAAUAUUUAAAGUAUAAACAAAAUUUGUGCCAGCAGUUGCGGUUAUACGAAUUAUAUAAUAGUAAGAUUUUAGUAAUAGUUAAUAAAUAUAUAAUUAAAUAAAUAUGAAAAUUUAUUAGGUGAAAUUUUAAGUUUUUAUAGGUUUAUAGAUGGUUUAUGAUUCUAGGAAAAUUUUCAAUAAACUAGGAUUAGAUACCCUAUUAUUAAAAAGUAAAUUUCAAUUAUUAAAUUAGUAUUAGUUAUAGUCUUAAAAAUUAAAGAAAUUGGCGGUAUUUUAUUUUUUCAGAGGAACCUGUUCUGUAAUUGAUAGUCCACGUUGUUAUUUACUUAUUUUAUUAGUUUGUAUAUCGUCGUGAAUUGAAUAUUUUAUAAAAAAAUAAAUGUUCAAAAUUUAAAUAUAAAAAAAAUCAGAUCAAGGUAUAGCUUAUAAAUAAGUAGAGAUGGGUUACAAUAAAUUUUAUUUAUAUGGAAAAUUUUAUGUAAAAUAAAUUUGAAGGUGGAUUUGGAAGUAAUUUUUUAUAAUUAUAAAAAAUGAUAUUAUUUUAAAAUAUGUACAUAUUGCCCGUCGCUUUCAUUUAAGGUGGAAUAAGUCGUAACAUAGUAGAUGUACUGGAAAGUGUCUCUAGAAUAAA
Molecule: non-coding RNA, 775 nt
Filed under: Curculionidae sp. 6 AH-2016
Lineage: Eukaryota; Metazoa; Arthropoda; Insecta; Coleoptera; Curculionidae
Source: RNAcentral